Molecule: long non-coding RNA, 499 nt
Organism: Pan paniscus (pygmy chimpanzee)
Lineage: Eukaryota; Metazoa; Chordata; Mammalia; Primates; Hominidae
Source: Ensembl
GUAUAUCUCUCAAUCUACCUGUCUUCUAAAUUUUUUCUUAGAAACGUUUUCUAGUUUCUUGUAUAAUGUUUAUGGUGUUUGUAGUCAAGAGGUUUCCAAGACAAAUUUUGAUAUGCUGCACAAAUUUUUAUUAUCAUUCAGUGUUGCAGUGUUUCCAGACCUUUCAUUUUUCUUCCAUCUUAUCUCAAGGCUGAAAGAAGUUUAUCAUAUUAUUAGACAACAGAGCAGAACAAAACAAUACAUCAAGCCUCAGCACUUGGUAUUGCUUUGCAGAGAAAACCAGGUAGGACAAAGAAAGAAAAACAGAAUGCAGAAAGGGAAAAAUAUUUGGCAUUUUCUGAGACCAACUAGUUAUUCUCAAUUUGGCUAGCGUAAAGAAUUCCUGAAAGAGAGGAGGAGCAACAGUGAGUGGUCUACCUGGAAACCUCAUCAUAGUUAUAAAAAGAGAAGGCAGGUACAUUGGGAAUAAAGGAGGAGACUGCAGUGGUGAAGAAUUAGG